Molecule: long non-coding RNA, 4902 nt
Organism: Centrocercus urophasianus (Greater sage-grouse)
Lineage: Eukaryota; Metazoa; Chordata; Aves; Galliformes; Phasianidae
Exons: 2
Source: RefSeq, a predicted model, not a curated record
UGAACCCGAGCAGGAAAGGUGAUUUGGGUGUUGUAACCAUGUAACCUCCUCAAGAGACAAUCAUAGAAGUAGGUGACAAACAGUAACUUCAAAACUGAAAGAAAAACAUUAUCCAGUUUCUUUGCAAAUUAAUACAAUGUGCUUCACUUUAAAGCUUCUUAGUGCUUCUAAAAGGUAUACUGUAUAUCUGGGACUUUUAAAAAUCAGAUAUGAAAGAGCACCAUAGUGCUACACUGAAGUUGAAUUCUUUGGGAACAUUACAAGGUUAAGAGCCUGCUGGCCAAUGUGACAAGACUGCUCUGUAGGUUUAAGGGUUGUGUUUUACAAUCAGAGUCCUAUUCAGACUAAGUGCAAGAAAAUAAUUAGCAUAGUCAUCAAAUUUUGACAGCUUGAAUUGGUAAGAUUUCCUUUAAUUACUUUGAUUUUUCAGUAUCUUAAAGGAGCAGACACUGAUACUGAGCAGAGUAUUUAAAGAGAGAGAAAUGAAGGAUGCAAAUAAAUGGCAUAGAGGCACAGGCCCUUUGGAAGAAAGCUGGUAGCAGGACAGAGGUGCCUGAAGUUGGUUUCUUAAAGAGCUGCCUGGAAUCAAGAGCUGUGGAGGAAAGUCAGAUUGACUCCUGCCAGCAAGAAGGCUGGGUGCCCCAGGCAGCGUGUGACAGUGUCUCCUGUGCUGGCCUUACCUCCAGGAGCUGCUUUGAGAAGAGUGCUGGCUGCCUUCUCCAUACCGCCACUGGUCUGGUGAGAUUGCUCUCAUUCCUCAUGGAACUCAACCAUGAGUUAAUACUCAACCUGCCCUCACCCCCUUUUAGUUUUGUGUUCUGUGUGACUGAGUUUUGCUGAGUGGCUGGGAAAUCUGAUGAGGAAGAGCUCUCCUCGCUGUGCCUUCACACUGCUUUGGGAUGCUGACAGUACCUCUGUCUCUAUGAGCCACUGCUGGGCAGCUUCAAGGGAUGUGCUGAUGCUGCUGUAGAGAAAUUACCGAGCCGUAACUGUGAAGUGGCUCUCUGUGAGGAGGCCAGUGACCUGUGAUUAUACACAGAAACUGAAUUUCAGCAGUUUUAUCCUCAAUUUCUUUAACCAGGACUCCAUUUUUAAGCAAUAGUGAUGUCAACGUUACACUGAAUUACAAAUGUUGAUUCAGAGAAUAACAGCUCUGUGACUGACAGAGCACAAAAACUCACUUUUUUUCCUGGGGCAGGGAAGAAGACAGUACAUUACCAGUGAUAAAUUGCUUGGCUAAGCAAAACCCUUGAGAAAAUUUGGAAGAAAAUGCUAUUAAUUUUGUUGCAGGUAUCUGCUACUGCAGGAUGGGUGAAAACUACUUAGUUGCCUUUGGAUGAUUACUAAUUGUGUAACUUACUUUUGCAUAGCACGAUGAGAUUCAUCACUUAAAGCAAAUGGUUAUCUUCUAGAAGUAGUUAUCUUCUAGAAGUUAUCUUCUCAAUACGGGCUUUUCAAAGGCAGGUGUCAAGCUGUGGCAGUCUCUUGGAACUCUUGCAUAAGAGAGUUGAGUUUCUGAAUCCAGGACUGGCUUUACCUCCUUUUCCAGUACCCGACCCUGAUAGCGUUACAUGGGAGAGCCAAUGGGAUCUGCUGUCCUCAGUGCUUAGUGUUCCCAGAAGGCCCUGUGGAGGGAGAAGCCCUUCAGCUGCUGCUGUUGAGGCUGGCAGUACUUCUGUAACCCUGUUAAAGGAAGUUGCAUUCUGAAAGAGUAUUUUUAUCUUAACCGUUUUGAACAUCUGUGCAAGCUGCCAAGAUGUCACGAACGAACUGCUGCACUGCCUGCUACUUGUCAUGCAUCGCUUUGUUAGAAGAAAAUCUCAAUUGCAGCUCAAUGACGAGAUCACACUUUGCUUUGUUUGUACCUUAUGCUGUAUCAGGGAUUCAGGCAGCAAGAGCACCCUUGAGCCCCACACCGGAUGGGAAGGACUUCCAGGAAGAAACCUUGAAGCUGGUUGAUGAUGAAAACUAAAUGAAACGGUGACAAAGAUACAGAUAGAACUUUGGGAGUCUGCUAAGUCAGCCCAGAAAACCAUGCAAGCUUAUCUGAAGGAGUAAUCUGCUCCUUAACCUUAUCUGUCCUGUAGGCACCGACCCCCUUUGCACACGCUCCCACUGCAGCACUCCCCAAGCUCUGGCCUCAGCAGUUUGUGGGGAAAAGACAAGAUAAACUGAUCCACUGUCAAUAUCUAAAAUGGGUGUUUGCCUGAAAAGACAGGAGGGAGCUGACUCGUUUAUUUGAUGGAUCAUUUUCUUCAAAGCUUGCUGAUGACAAUUUAAAGAUAAAUAUAUUUGACUUCACUUGUUUAUCAUCGUUUUGCUCUGUGAUUUUGGGCAGAGCUUAAGCUGCAGAACAAUGUCCCAGUUCUACUCACCUAACCACAAGCCAGCUGCCUUCCUUCUCAUCUCAGGUAAAGCCCAGUUCUGUGUCACCAUCUCAGAGAGGCCUGUGGUUCUACAAAGCUGAGCAGCUGAGAGCUGCUGUGUGCUGCAUGCUCCUGGGAGCAGAGCAGCCCUGUGUUCACAGUACUGUGGGGUCUCUGCGCAGGUUUUACUGUCCCAACUCAAGGUGCCUCCUCACUCAGGGCUAGCUGCUGCUGUUAGGCCCACCUAACCUCAUGGCAGCCAUCGUCUGCUUCUCACUCCAUCUUUUUGUUGUUGGACAGUCUGUUGUCUCCUGCCUCUCCAUGUACACGUGCCUCUUCUGCAGGUCUUGUCACCAAUGCUGCCAUGGCGCCCAACUCACAAAGCACUGCCUGCCCCGUGGUCCCUUUGCUUGAGUGGAAGGCUUGCUUCUGACUCCUGGAGCCUCCUAGUAGAUCCUGCCCUUGGCUCAGUGGAGGGCUGGAGUGGUAAUGCUCACUGUCAGAUCUGUAAGGCUGAAGUCAUGCCUGCAGUGAAAGCAGCUCCUCUUAACCAGGAGAAGGGCUUUUCGUUAUUUCCUCCCAAUAUUUAGUUUGGCUUUUACACAGUUUAAUGAUGAAAGCUUUAAAAUGUGGCUAUGGGGUUAUUAUCUCAAAGAAGGAGAACUAGCAGCAAGAACCCCCUCACCUCAAAUAUGGGAACGAGAGCAAGGCCCUGGCAAGCGAGUGGCACAGGCGGACAGCUGAGGGAAGAAAUGGCAGGAAGGCAUUUGUGCCAUUAAAGCUUGAUAUGAAUUAAAACUUGCUGGAGUUUUAAUUCAUAUCUAGAACCAAGAGUGAAGCAAAGUGGAAAGUGACAAAGCUGUGAGCUGUGACUCCACACGCCUCUGUGGGUCUGAGAGCACACUGGGAAGAAAUGGAAUCCAAGAAAAUUCAGAGCUGAGUAGGGUGGAAAAGACUGGUGAAAAGCAGGAGCAAAAAGGGUGAUUUAUGUGAACCACAAAAGGAAGAAGUUAUUCACAGAACAGGGAAAGGCCUAAGGAGCUACUGAUGUGAAAUCUCUCUCUAUGAGUUAAGGGAAAGUAACCCAUUUCUUGGUCUUUAUUUUAGUUUCUUAUGUAAUAGCUCAUCUCCAAAAGGUUUCAGAGCAGAUUUCCCUAGAGUGACUGAGUCAGUUUCAGAAACUGGAGAAAGAAAAUUGGACUGGGAAGACUGCUUUUUGUCCCUGUCCCCAGCAAGACAGAUAAAAAUAUGGCUGUAGCUUAUUUAAUACAGGUGAUCAAGGUCACCACCUCUCCUUGCAAUUAAUCCAGUGCACCAAUUCUGUUGUUUUUUUCCCUCUUCUUUUUGUUCCAACACUUAUAAGCAAAUCUUCAGAAAAGAUAAAAGGAAUGGUCAAGGGAUGUGCUUUUUAUUUAUUUAUUUUUAAAAAUAGAGAAGAGGAAACAGAAUUGCAGAGCAAUUUCCUAUUCUGUUGCUCUCAAAGAAAAGGGAGCAACAUGAGCACGAGUCUCCUGCCUGGAGGAAUGAAUCAGCCAUCUGGCAGCCUGAGGGUGUUCUGAUCUGCCUGUGGAGCUCUGGCCAUUAAUCAGACACGGAACUGGUUCACUGUCUGCCCCUUCCUAGCGCUGUUUCUUAAAUGGGUGACUGAUCAAGAGCUCUCUUUGGAUCCAGUGUUGUAACAAUCCCUGUUGUAAAAGCCAUUGUUAAAUCAUCUCUGAAUUGGGCUCACUAUCCGUAAUGGUGGACUUUGAAGUCUUAAGAGUGACUGUUGUAAGAAAGGUGAUGUCGUCCCAUAAAGUUCUUUCUCCUCCCAUCUUUCUCACAGCUCUUCUGUCAGAUGCAAACCCUUUCUAGUGAGGUGAGAGCUGUAAAAUGUCUCUAUUUCCUUAUGCUUGGAUGGCGGAUUUCGGAAUUGUUAUUUUAUUGGAGAACAUGCUGGAAUGCUGAAGUUCUACACAGACCCUUCAGGAUGUUCUUUGGUUCCUUCACAGGUUUUGAAAAUGGGUCAAAACACAUCUGGAACUGUCCUUAGAAAAGAGUAGUUAUGUAGCAAGAAGGGCUUUUCAACACAUCUCCCCUGUUGCUAUAGGUGUUGGAAGGCUUGGGCUCAGGAGAAUGAUUUUCUUUUUGGGGAAAAAAAAGCAGAAUGCAGAGCCUUUGAGGAGCCUUUUUUGUCUUUUGUCUUUCACAACAAAUGUCGUGGUUCAGAACUUGUUCCGCUAUUCUGUCUCCUGUACUCCUGUACACAGCUUGAGAUUGUUGUGGUUGCUUUUCAGGUGUGUGUCAUAUAAACUGUUUUCUGUUUGCUUUCUUAUCUCAGCGUGGCUCUGCAGGACGAAUUCUUCCUGGGUGCAGCUGGGCGAAGAAAAACCCGAUCUUCUGUCCUCCAGAACAGACAGGCACUUUCAGGGCCUUGAGGAGCUCCUGCACCUCCAGUUGUGCUGACUGAAUUGUUUGUGUGGUUGUACUCUAAAUAGCAUCUGAGAAAUGAUCUGGUUUGCAGAAGGAGGAAAAAAAAAAAGAAAAGAAACCAACC